AACGCUAGCUACAGGCUUAACACAUGCAAGUCGAGGGGUAGCAGGGUAGCAAUACCGCUGACGACCGGCGCACGGGUGAGUAACACGUAUCCAACCUACCAUUCACACGGGGAUAGCCUUUCGAAAGAAAGAUUAAUACCCGAUAGUAUAGCGAUAAGGCAUCUUAUUGUUAUUAAAGAAUUUCGGUGUUUGAUGGGGAUGCGUUCCAUUAGAUUGUUGGUGAGGUAACGGCUCACCAAGUCUUCGAUGGAUAGGGGUUCUGAGAGGAAGGUCCCCCACAUUGGAACUGAGACACGGUCCAAACUCCUACGGGAGGCAGCAGUGAGGAAUAUUGGUCAAUGGGCGGAAGCCUGAACCAGCCAAGUAGCGUGAAGGAUUACAGCCCUACGGGUUUUAAACUUCUUUUAUAUAAGAGUAAUGUGCACUACGUGUAGUGUAUUGCAAGUAUUAUAUGAAUAAGCAUCGGCUAACUCCGUGCCAGCAGCCGCGGUAAUACGGAGGAUGCGAGCGUUAUCCGGAUUUAUUGGGUUUAAAGGGAGCGUAGGCGGGAUAUUAAGUCAGUCGUCAAAGCCUGUGGCUCAACCACAGCCCGCGAUUGAUACUGGUAACCUUGAGUGCGGAUGAGGUGGAUGGAAUUCGUGGUGUAGCGGUGAAAUGCUUAGAUAUCACGAAGAACUCCGAUUG
RNAcentral lists this ribosomal RNA (684 nucleotides) under uncultured bacterium. RNAcentral describes it as "bacterial SSU rRNA". It matches the Rfam family "Bacterial small subunit ribosomal RNA", at positions 32 to 715 of the family's 1533-position model. The record is from RNAcentral.